UACGUAGGUGGCUAGCGUUACCCGGAAUUACUAGGUGUAAAGCGCAGGUAGGUGGUUUGAUAAGUUGAAAGUGAAAGCCCCGAUAAAAUCGGGGAUGCCUUUCAAUACUGUCAGGCUUGAGUGUGGUAUGGGGAACCAGAAUUCCCGGUGUAGCGGUGAAAUGCGUAGAUAUCGGGGGGAAUACCGAUGGCGAAAGCGGGUUCCUGGACCAUUACUGACACUGAGCUGCGAAAGCGUGGGGAGCA
Molecule: ribosomal RNA, 245 nt
Filed under: uncultured bacterium
Lineage: Bacteria
Description: partial 16S ribosomal RNA
Rfam family: Bacterial small subunit ribosomal RNA
Source: RNAcentral